This 599-nucleotide ribosomal RNA is filed under the name uncultured bacterium. Its description in RNAcentral is "bacterial SSU rRNA". It matches the Rfam family "Bacterial small subunit ribosomal RNA", at positions 833 to 1433 of the family's 1533-position model. The record is from RNAcentral.
CACGAGUUCCGUGCCGCAGCUAACGCAUUAAGCGCCCCGCCUGGGGAGUACGGCCGCAAGGCUAAAACUCAAAGGAAUUGACGGGGGCCCGCACAAGCGGCGGAGCAUGCGGAUUAAUUCGAUGCAACGCGAAGAACCUUACCAAGGCUUGACAUAUACCGGAAACGUCCAGAGAUGGGCGCCCCGCAAGGUCGGUAUACAGGUGGUGCAUGGUUGUCGUCAGCUCGUGUCGUGAGAUGUUGGGUUAAGUCCCGCAACGAGCGCAACCCUCGUUCUAUGUUGCCAGCACGUGAUGGUGGGGACUCAUAGGAGACUGCCGGGGUCAACUCGGAGGAAGGUGGGGAUGACGUCAAAUCAUCAUGCCCCUUACGUCUUGGGCUUCACGCAUGCUACAAUGGCCGGUACAAAGGGCUGCGAUACCGUAAGGUGGAGCGAAUCCCAAAAAACCGGUCUCAGUUCGGAUUGGGGUCUGCAACUCGACCCCAUGAAGUCGGAGUCGCUAGUAAUCGCAGAUCAGCAACGCUGCGGUGAAUACGUUCCCGGGCCUUGUACACACCGCCCGUCAAGUCACGAAAGUCGGUAACACCCGAAGCCGGUGG